CCUCGACUAUUGCCAUCUGGUAUAAUCGUAUGAAAUCAUAUGUAGGAGUUGGGAAGUUGAUUGCAGAUUUACUUUCAUUAUGAAUACAGAAACUGUUAUUUUAAAUACUGAGAUGGAACAUAAGGAAUUAAAUUGUGAGAAUAUAACUGGAUUGAACUGGCAUUAAAUGAGGUUUUGUGGUGCACUUUCGUGUUCUAGCAGUGCUGAACCUGCAGUCUGUUGCUGAUGCGGUCCGAAUUGGAGCACAGGAUGAGUGGACCAUCAAGGUGCAGAGACCUGGUUCUUUUAUGUGGUAUAUACAUCUUAUGGCCGGACCUGUAUAUAUGUAGUGGAUGGUUCAUCAGUUCAUUGGAAAAAGAAAAAUUAAGAUUCAGGUUCAAUAGGCUUAGAACUUGACCUUGUUUAAAAUGGAUCUCUCUCUGGAUGGGCUGUACCGGGCUGUGCUGAGAGGCCUGCAGGUUGGGCUUGGGUCUGCAUUAACGCUUGUCAUUGUGAAGACUGCAAUAACACUCCCCGGUCUGCAGAAAAUAAGUCCACUUGCUGUGUUCUUCACUGGCAUAUUGCUGGGAAUUGCAUUU
Molecule: non-coding RNA, 578 nt
Organism: Zootermopsis nevadensis
Lineage: Eukaryota; Metazoa; Arthropoda; Insecta; Blattodea; Termopsidae
Source: RefSeq, a predicted model, not a curated record